Triticum dicoccoides is the source of this 970-nucleotide long non-coding RNA. RefSeq lists it as uncharacterized. The record is from RefSeq and is a predicted model, not a curated record. The transcript is spliced from 7 exons. NCBI's taxonomy places the organism in Eukaryota, Viridiplantae, Streptophyta, Magnoliopsida, Poales, Poaceae.
GCCAACCACCUCCCCCCGACGGACCUCGAUCCGCCGCCAAUGGCGCUCCCAGACCCGCGACGGCCACGGCCUCGGCGGGCGAAUCUGCUCGACUUCGGCGCCGGGAGAGGAGAGGAGCCGCCCCUCCCCUCCCCUCUGCGUGGUUCCGCUCGAUGGCCGAGCGGUUCCGCGUGAGGCGAGGGCUCGACUGCUCCGACGCCUCAAGGUGCACGAAGGCCCUAGGUGCUGGCGUGGUGCAGGGGAUCUCACGAAUUCCACCACACACACCUCGCCGCCGUUCAUGCUCCGUCCGGCUUCAGCAGGGCCAGCAAGACGCGACUUCCGCUUCUUCCUGUCCCACGACGCCUCCUCCAAGCCGCUCAAGCAGCAGCAGCCAUGAGGUGCCUGUAACAGGCUCAUAAUAGGAACGAGUGAGGCGAGACGCAGCGGCUCGAGAUGCUCGGUAACCUCUACGGUGGAUUGCCUUGUGUGCUGUGGACAAGGUUAAGGACGAGUGAAUCUGGAGUUCAUGUAUCAUUAUCAAACACAAGCUUGUGGAAGGGGUGGGUGUGGCUGGGAGAAAAUGUUAAACAGGAAGGGAAGAAGCUGGAUCACCACAAACGCCAUGGAGGAGAAGCCCACAAAUUGGAUCUCACGAGUUCCACCACCACUCCUCGCCGCCGUCCAUGCUCCGACGUCAGCAGGGCCAGCAAGACGGCGACUUCCACUGGCUGUAAGCCAUCAAAGCUUUGCAUGCGUGAGGCCGGGUUGAUGUUGACUUAAUCAAUCUCCCUGCUGGCGAGGACUUCCUACAGUUAAACACACAUGUCUGGUUAUCAAAGACUCAUGUAGGAUGGUCCCGAGCUCCAAACCAUGGAGGCAGUGGCCUCUUCUCUGUCUCUGUUGUUGAAACCUGAAACAUUGUGUAUGAAGUCUAAUCUUAUGCAUGCUCAUUUAUCCUUCUUGUUAAUGGAAUUGGGGCUGGCAGAAA